GACGAACGCUGGCGGCGUGCUUAACACAUGCAAGUCGAACGGAAAGGCCCUGCUUUUGUGGGGUGCUCGAGUGGCGAACGGGUGAGUAACACGUGAGUAACCUGCCCUUGACUUUGGGAUAACUUCAGGAAACUGGGGCUAAUACCGGGUAGGAGCUCCUGCUGCAUGGUGGGGGUUGGAAAGUUUCGGCGGUUGGGGAUGGACUCGCGGCUUAUCAGCUUGUUGGUGGGGUAGUGGCUUACCAAGGCUUUGACGGGUAGCCGGCCUGAGAGGGUGACCGGCCACAUUGGGACUGAGAUACGGCCCAGACUCCUACGGGAGGCAGCAGUGGGGAAUAUUGCACAAUGGGCGGAAGCCUGAUGCAGCAACGCCGCGUGCGGGAUGACGGCCUUCGGGUUGUAAACCGCUUUCGCCUGUGACGAAGUGUGAGUGACGGUAAUGGGUAAAGAAGCACCGGCUAACUACGUG
This 468-nucleotide ribosomal RNA is filed under the name uncultured bacterium. RNAcentral's name for it is "partial 16S ribosomal RNA". It matches the Rfam family "Bacterial small subunit ribosomal RNA", at positions 28 to 507 of the family's 1533-position model. The record is from RNAcentral.